CGUGAGAUGUUGGGUUAAGUCCCGUAACGAGCGCAACCCUUGUCCCUAGUUGCCAGCGGUCCGGCCGGGCACUCUAGGGAGACUGCCGGUGACAAACCGGAGGAAGGUGGGGACGACGUCAAGUCAUCAUGGCCCUUACGACCUGGGCUACACACGUGCUACAAUGGCCGGUACAAAGGGCAGCGAAGCGGCGACGCGGAGCGAAUCCUUCAAAACCGGUCGUAGUCCGGAUUGGAGUCUGCAACUCGACUCCAG
RNAcentral lists this ribosomal RNA (255 nucleotides) under uncultured bacterium. RNAcentral's name for it is "partial 16S ribosomal RNA". It matches the Rfam family "Bacterial small subunit ribosomal RNA", at positions 1066 to 1321 of the family's 1533-position model. The record is from RNAcentral.